UCAAAUAUUGAAGAAUUAACUCAUAUAUCCCCUGAAUAUGGCAGGGAGUUUCUACCGGAAGCCGUAAAUUUCCGACUAUGAGUGAAUAUUAAUAUGUU
RNAcentral lists this non-coding RNA (98 nucleotides) under Clostridium sp. Its description in RNAcentral is "Guanine sequence". It matches the Rfam family "Purine riboswitch aptamer". Rfam says of the family: Riboswitches are metabolite binding domains within certain messenger RNAs that serve as precision sensors for their corresponding targets. Allosteric rearrangement of mRNA structure is mediated by ligand binding, and this results in modulation of gene expression. The record is from RNAcentral. RNAcentral also lists the same sequence under 1 other name. Lineage: Bacteria; Bacillati; Bacillota; Clostridia; Eubacteriales; Clostridiaceae.